UAAUGCCUGGGAAAUUGCCCUGAUGUGGGGGAUAACCAUUGGAAACGAUGGCUAAUACCGCAUAAUAGCUUCGGCUCAAAGAGGGGGACCUUCGGGCCUCUCGCGUCAGGAUAUGCCCAGGUGGGAUUAGCUAGUUGGUGAGGUAAGGGCUCACCAAGGCGUCGAUCCCUAGCUGGUCUGAGAGGAUGAUCAGCCACACUGGAACUGAGACACGGUCCAGACUCCUACGGGAGGCAGCAGUGGGGAAUAUUGCACAAUGGGCGCAAGCCUGAUGCAGCCAUGCCGCGUGUAUGAAGAAGGCCUUCGGGUUGUAAAGUACUUUCAGCAGUGAGGAAGAUGGUGUGUUUAAUACGCGCAUCAUUUGACGUUAGCUGCAGAAG
Molecule: ribosomal RNA, 380 nt
Filed under: Vibrio sp. AS-4
Lineage: Bacteria; Pseudomonadati; Pseudomonadota; Gammaproteobacteria; Vibrionales; Vibrionaceae
Description: bacterial SSU rRNA
Rfam family: Bacterial small subunit ribosomal RNA
Source: RNAcentral